GGUGAUAUAGCUCUGUUGGUAGAGUGCUUGCUUCUCAGGCAUAAGGCCCUGGAUUCAAUCCCCAGCACCACCA
Non-coding RNA from Ictidomys tridecemlineatus (thirteen-lined ground squirrel), 73 nucleotides. Lineage: Eukaryota; Metazoa; Chordata; Mammalia; Rodentia; Sciuridae. The record is from Rfam.